GAACGGAGGGAAAAGGAUUAUGCGCUUAGAUAUCUUAGAAGAAAAAUAACGGUAAACAGAAUGAUAUGAUUCGUUAUUAAUAAGUUAUGACGUUAUGAACGUCGAGUAAGAUACUUGGGGGCGGAAACAAUUCGCGAGAAAUUCAGAGAGUAGGGGUAAAAGAUAAUCGAAAGUGGGGUAACGAACAAGACUAUAAAUUCGUAAAAAUUAUUAGUUCGACGAUCUGACUGACAAAGUGUGUUACGGACAGGAACUAAUAGUUUAAGCGUAAGUUCAAAUAAAUUAUUUCAUUUUAGAAGUUAGAAAUUAAUUGUUAGUUAAAUUUUAAUAUUUGAGUUUGAAGUAAAGAGAGGAACAGAGAUUUACCUAUGUUUGUAUAUGACUUUGUGUAUUUCACUAUUUAUAAGAAAUCUAAACUGUUAUAUUAUUUUUGAAAGGGAGUCAAUAACCUUUGACUGUUUCGAUGUGAUAUAUACAUAAGCUUACAUAAAGAAAGAAGAAGAAAUCGAUUCAAAGUUUUUACAUCGUAAAAAUUUUUAUUUCUGAGAAGAGCAGCAUCUACAUUCUGUAGAAGAGAUAUAUUCAAUGGAAUUUUCUCGAUCAUCGAAAAUGAAAAUAGUUGAUUCUUUUUAAUAAUAGAGAAAAACAUCAUUGCAGUACAAGAAGAACGAUUCUGAAAUUCUGUUGGACAAAUAUAUUAGGAUUCUGUAUCUUUUUUAAGAUUUUUUGAAGAAAAGACAGCAGUAUCAUCCAGAAAGUCUGCAGAAUAGAAUUCAAUCUACGUUCCAUUUUCAAGGAUAGUAAUAUCAAUUAAUAUAUAUAUAGAUUAUCGAUAUUAUUUAUGGAAUAUUGAUCUAUCACUAAUGGAAACUGGUGAAUAAUGCUACAUGAUACAGAUGUUAGCUACAUGAUAUAGAUUUAGAUUGUGACGAACUGAAUUUAAGUAGAAUGAAUUAAUCAACAUUUGUCUAAUCAUAAUAACGAUUAGAGUAAUAUUCAAGUUUUACCUAAAUAUUGGAAUAAAUGGAUUCACUGAAAUAAGAGUUAGGAAAGUUUUAACAAUGUAACAAUCGUACUUCACCUACACCCGUGAAGAUAUCGAAAGUGAAAGAUUCGAAAAGUAUAGGUUUCAUAUAUCACAAGUAAAUUCUCAAGAAUAACAUGUCGAUGCCAAGAAUGUCAAUUUAUUGUUGUAGUUAAAUAUGAAUCGUUGAAACACAGCUGAUAGCUAAUAAUAGUUGACAACCCACAAAAAAAGUUUAAAACGCCUAUUCGGGAUACGAUCAAUGUUUGGAAUAUUAUCUGGGAAAUUAUUUCAUUAAAAAACUAUUCAAAUGUGAUAGAUGUUCU
Vespula vulgaris is the source of this 1350-nucleotide long non-coding RNA. RefSeq lists it as uncharacterized. The transcript has 3 exons. Lineage: Eukaryota; Metazoa; Arthropoda; Insecta; Hymenoptera; Vespidae. The record is from RefSeq and is a predicted model, not a curated record.